AUUAAACGCUGGCGGCAUGCCUUACACAUGCAAGUCGAACGGUAGCGCGGGGCAACCUGGCGACGAGUGGCGAACGGGUGAGUAAAGCAUCGGAACGUGCCCUGGAAUGGGGGAUAACGUAGCGAAAGUUACGCUAAUACCGCAUAUUCUGUGAGCAGGAAAGCAGGGGAUCGCAAGACCUUGCGUUCUGGGAGCGGCCGAUGUCGGAUUAGCUAGUUGGUGGGGUAAAAGCCUACCAAGGCGACGAUCCGUAGCGGGUCUGAGAGGAUGAUCCGCCACACUGGGACUGAGACACGGCCCAGACUCCUACGGGAGGCAGCAGUGGGGAAUUUUGGACAAUGGGCGGAAGCCUGAUCCAGCCAUGCCGCGUGAGUGAAGAAGGCCUUCGGUCGUAAAGCUCUGUGGGGAGGGACGAACGGCGGCCAUGAAGAGUGGCGAUUGACGGUACCUCCUUAGCAAGCACCGGCGUAACUUACGUGCCAGCAGCCGCGGUAA
Molecule: ribosomal RNA, 495 nt
Filed under: uncultured bacterium
Lineage: Bacteria
Description: bacterial SSU rRNA
Rfam family: Bacterial small subunit ribosomal RNA
Source: RNAcentral